GUUCAACUUGAAGGCGGAGGCAAGCUGCGUUUAGCAGGAUGUUUAGUUGGGGGUGCUGUGGUAGCCUGCGUACAAAGAGUGCACGGAGUUAGGCACAAUACAUUCAGCCUGAUUGGCCGUAAUGAGUAUCGGGACCUUGAAAAUGACUGGAAAUGUAUUGAGAAUGGUUCUCACUCUUCUGCUCCUUGCUCCUAUCAGUCAAGGGAUCCAGGGUGUUGAGUUGUUCUAUUAUGAAAAGAUGGAAGCUGUAGUGGGCCAGAAUGUUUCCUUACCCUGCACUUUAAAAAGUGCUACUGAUAACAAGAUUGUCAGCAUUGAAUGGAGUAAGGAAACAAAUAAAAAUACAAAGCUGGGUUUGUACAGCCAGUUUUAUGGAAUCCAUGUAUUCUGGCAAAAUAUUACCAUCCAGAUUGAGAAGAACGGUACAGAUGUCCUGGGUUCCCAGCUAAUACUUUCUGAUGUGAAGAAAUCGGAUGAAGGCAUCUAUGUUUGUGACAUGGCCACCUUUCCUGAUGGAUCCAAAAAGGUUAAAACACAGCUAAUAAUCAAAGGGAUCCAGGGUGUUGAGUUGUUCCAUUAUGAAAAGAUGGAAGCUGUAGUGGGCCAGAAUGUUUCCUUACCCUGCACUUUAAAAAGUGCUACUGAUAACAAGAUUGUCAGCAUUGAAUGGAGUAAGGAAACAAAUAAAACUACAAAGCUGGGUUUGCACAGCCAAUUUUAUGGAUUCCAUCUAUUCUGGCAAAAUAUUACCAUCCAGAUUGAGAAAAACGGUACAGAUGUACUGGGUUCCCAUCUAAAACUUUCUGAUGUGAAGAAAUCGGAUGAAGGCAUCUAUGUUUGUGACAUGGCCACCUUUCCUGAUGGAUCCAAAAAGGUUAAAACACAGCUAAUAAUCAAAGAUGACAUUAAAAUAACGUGUGAUGUGAAUGGCACUGUUGAAGUCCAAAAUGGAGAAAAUGUGACAAUUCGCUGCACAUCAUUUCCAAACGCACAGUACAGAUGGACCAAGAAUGAUGAAGUGUUGUCAGAGACUGAAUCUCUGGAGCUCUGGUGGGUGACUGAUGCUAAGGCAGGGAUUUAUACACUGACUGUCAACACAGGAAGCAAACGUGUGCGCAAAGAGUUUGUGGUCACAGUGCAACCACAAGUUUGAAGACAGGAUGGAUCUACCACCUCCUUUCAAUCUCCCUCCAGCUUUAGUCAAGUAUACAGCUGCAAGGUAGAGCAAGACUACAACAGAGCCUUUCCCCAUCUUUGACACAGAUUCAAAUAUGAAAUAUGUCAGUUCAUUAGCUGAAAAGUGAAGUAAUAGUAGAGUAGGGUUUAAACCAUGUCUUCUCUACUAAUUAGAAACCAGUACAAACCAGAAGUUUUGCAAAUGUAGCUCUGUCUAAAGGUGUUUUCAGGAUUUUUUUUUUUUUUUUUUUUUU
Maylandia zebra (zebra mbuna) is the source of this 1430-nucleotide long non-coding RNA. RefSeq annotates it as nectin-3-like protein. The record is from RefSeq and is a predicted model, not a curated record. NCBI's taxonomy places the organism in Eukaryota, Metazoa, Chordata, Actinopteri, Cichliformes, Cichlidae.